UUAUGUGAUGAUGCCAGCUAUGAAACGGGUACAAUUCUAAAUAGAAUUUUGAAACAGAUAUUGAAAGAGAUGACACUAUCAAGAGUUCUGUGGUAACUAAAGUUAAAGGAGUUGCACACGUCAAUGCAGCAGAUAUAGAUUUCUGGGGAACAGAGGAUGUUUUCCCCAACCCGAUCAGCUUCCUGUUCCACUGAUGCUGCAGAACAGAAGUGAAGAACACUUUACUGAGUGCAUGGAGUUCAUUUGAACAUCAUUUUGUUCGGAACGGCAAGGAAAUGUACUAUUAUUCCUGCGAUUGUCAACAUAGCCUCUGCUCUGACUAUAAUGGCUGCUGUAAGUAUGUAAAUAUCAUCCAUUUCAGUGUAUAUAAUGAGUUUGUUUUUAAUUUAAGGGUUCUUACUUCAGUGAAAUUAUGGUACUGAACACGAUGAAGAAGAGGGCUGUUAACACAGAUGAGUUAAUAUUUGAUUUUAGACAUUAAACUGAUUCAAUGGAUGAAUCAUAUAUGACUAUUUUUUUCUCUCUUGAAUUUUCUGUUGUUGUUGUUGAGAAAUGUGAUUUAAUAAUUAAUUUUCUGCUGUAUGAUAAUAGGGCUUUCAU
This is a long non-coding RNA of Carassius auratus (goldfish), 600 nucleotides long. RefSeq lists it as uncharacterized. The transcript has 3 exons. Lineage: Eukaryota; Metazoa; Chordata; Actinopteri; Cypriniformes; Cyprinidae. The record is from RefSeq and is a predicted model, not a curated record.